RNAcentral lists this ribosomal RNA (497 nucleotides) under uncultured bacterium. RNAcentral describes it as "partial 16S ribosomal RNA". It matches the Rfam family "Bacterial small subunit ribosomal RNA", at positions 28 to 507 of the family's 1533-position model. The record is from RNAcentral.
GAUGAACGCUGGCGGCGUGCCUAAUACAUGCAAGUCGAGCGAACAGACGAGGAGCUUGCUCCUCUGACGUUAGCGGCGGACGGGUGAGUAACACGUGGAUAACCUACCUAUAAGACUGGGAUAACUUCGGGAAACCGGAGCUAAUACCGGAUAAUAUAUUUAACCGCAUGGUUCAAUAGUGAAAGACGGAUUUGCUGUCACUUAUAGAUGGAUCCGCGCCGCAUUAGCUAGUUGGUAAGGUAACGGCUUACCAAGGCAAGGAUGCGUAGCCGACCUGAGAGGGUGAUCGGCCACACUGGAACUGAGACACGGUCCAGACUCCUACGGGAGGCAGCAGUAGGGAAUCUUCCGCAAUGGGCGAAAGCCUGACGGAGCAACGCCGCGUGAGUGAUGAAGGUCUUCGGAUCGUAAAACUCUGUUAUUAGGGAAGAACAAAUGUGUAAGUAACUAUGCACGUCUUGACGGUACCUAAUCAGAAAGCCACGGCUAACUACGUG